UACGUAGGGUGCGAGCGUUGUCCGGAUUUACUGGGCGUAAAGGGCUCGUAGGUGGUGUGUCGCGUCGGCUGUGUAAUCCAGGGGCUUAACUUUUGGUUGGCAGGCGAUACGGGCAUUGCUUGAGUGCUGUAGGGGAGACUGGAAUUCCUGGUGUAGCGGUGAAAUGCGCAGAUAUCAGGAGGAACACCGAUGGCGAAGGCAGGUCUCUGGGCAGUUACUGACGCUGAGGAGCGAGAGCAUGGGUAGCGAACAGG
RNAcentral lists this ribosomal RNA (254 nucleotides) under uncultured Corynebacterium sp. RNAcentral's name for it is "partial 16S ribosomal RNA". It matches the Rfam family "Bacterial small subunit ribosomal RNA", at positions 524 to 776 of the family's 1533-position model. The record is from RNAcentral. Lineage: Bacteria; Bacillati; Actinomycetota; Actinomycetes; Mycobacteriales; Corynebacteriaceae.